This 496-nucleotide ribosomal RNA is filed under the name Dothiorella sp. HL0528S. RNAcentral's name for it is "eukaryotic LSU rRNA". The stretch from base 145 to 298 matches the Rfam family "5.8S ribosomal RNA". Lineage: Eukaryota; Fungi; Ascomycota; Dothideomycetes; Botryosphaeriales; Botryosphaeriaceae. The record is from RNAcentral.
AAACGGCGGGUAGGACGGCUUUGACUGCUAUCUCUUACCCAUGUCUUUUGAGUACCUUACGUUUCCUCGGCGGGUCCGCCCGCCGAUUGGACAAUUUAAACCAUUUGCAGUUGCAAUCAGCGUCUGAAAAAACUUAAUAGUUACAACUUUCAACAACGGAUCUCUUGGUUCUGGCAUCGAUGAAGAACGCAGCGAAAUGCGAUAAGUAGUGUGAAUUGCAGAAUUCAGUGAAUCAUCGAAUCUUUGAACGCACAUUGCGCCCCUUGGUAUUCCAUGGGGCAUGCCUGUUCGAGCGUCAUUUGUACCUUCAAGCUCUGCUUGGUGUUGGGUGUUUGUCUCGCCUCUGCGUGUAGACUCGCCUCAAAACAAUUGGCAGCCGGCGUAUUGAUUUCGGAGCGCAGUACAUCUCGCGCUUUGCACUCAUAACGACGACGUCCAAAAGUACAUUUUUACACUCUUGACCUCGGAUCAGGUAGGGAUACCCGCUGAACUUAAG